AUUGAACGCUGGCGGCAGGCCUAACACAUGCCAGUCGAGCGGAUGAAGGGAGCUUGCUCCUGGAUUCAGCGGCGGACGGGUGAGUAAUGCCUAGGAAUCUGCCUGGUAGUGGGGGAUAACGUCCGGAAACGGGCGCUAAUACCGCAUACGUCCUGAGGGAGAAGGUGGGGGAUCUUCGGACCUCACGCUAUCAGAUGAGCCUAGGUCGGAUUAGCUAGUUGGUGGGGUAAAGGCCUACCAAGGCGACGAUCCGUAACUGGUCUGAGAGGAUGAUCAGUCACACUGGAACUGAGACACGGUCCAGACUCCUACGGGAGGCAGCAGUGGGGAAUAUUGGACAAUGGGCGAAAGCCUGAUCCAGCCAUGCCGCGUGUGUGAAGAAGGUCUUCGGAUUGUAAAGCACUUUAAGUUGGGAGGAAGGGCAGUAAGUUAAUACCUUGCUGUUUUGACGUUACCAACAGAAUAAGCACCGGCUAACUUCGUG
RNAcentral lists this ribosomal RNA (484 nucleotides) under uncultured bacterium. RNAcentral describes it as "partial 16S ribosomal RNA". It matches the Rfam family "Bacterial small subunit ribosomal RNA", at positions 30 to 507 of the family's 1533-position model. The record is from RNAcentral.